This 81-nucleotide ribosomal RNA is filed under the name Prymnesium parvum. Its description in RNAcentral is "partial Eukaryotic large subunit ribosomal RNA". The record is from RNAcentral. Lineage: Eukaryota; Haptophyta; Prymnesiales; Prymnesiaceae.
GGACUGAGGACCGCGCAUCUGCAAGGAUGCUGGCGUAAUGGUCACCAGCGACCCGUCUUGUAACACGGACCAAGGAGUCGU